CAGUAUUAUACUUUCAGGGAUCAUUUCUAUAGGUUUUGUUUGGAGAAAUGUGUUUGAAAGUGAACAAACUUGCUUUCCAUGAUGAUGAGCUUGAGUGUUUUUUCUUCAGUUUGAAGACUGUAAGCGAUGCUGUUUUAAAGCAGCUGUUGUUUACUAUUGAUGAUUGUUCCACUUUUUGUAUAGAAGUGUUGGCGAGAGAAAACACAAGCUGAGUGGC
Bombina bombina (fire-bellied toad) is the source of this 217-nucleotide small nucleolar RNA. RefSeq annotates it as small nucleolar RNA U3. The transcript has a single exon. NCBI's taxonomy places the organism in Eukaryota, Metazoa, Chordata, Amphibia, Anura, Bombinatoridae. The record is from RefSeq and is a predicted model, not a curated record.